Long non-coding RNA from Lotus japonicus, 896 nucleotides. RefSeq lists it as uncharacterized. The transcript has 2 exons. The record is from RefSeq and is a predicted model, not a curated record. Lineage: Eukaryota; Viridiplantae; Streptophyta; Magnoliopsida; Fabales; Fabaceae.
ACUCAUAAUCAGAAGGUUCUUAGGCUGAAUGGAGCAUUAUGGGCCAAGGAAGGCUGAUCCAAGGAAAGAAGCAAGGGUUUUGAAAACCCUAAGGCUUGGUGAGCCGCCGGCUGCCCAUGGAAAAGGAAGGGGGCUGCAGCUGGUUUUUCCUCUGAAUUAUGAGCUUUAAUGAGCCAUUAAUACUCUUUUCUUGGGCUGUAUCAGAUCUGAAACCAGAACCCUAGCCCACACAAGCCCUGACCGCCACCCAUGGGUAAGGAUUAGAGUGAAAUCCUUAUUUUCUUACAUGCAAAACAGCACCAGAAAAUAUUUCACGUAAACACCAACCAAACAAGCAAACCAACACCCUUCCCCUUGCUCCUAAGAGGCCUCCACUCGUCACCCUUGCACCACCAACAACCACCGCCCACCAAGGAGGAGGAGGAGACACGAGAAAGAGAGAAAAACCGCAAGGAAGGAGAGGAAACGCGUGAAGGAGAGGAAGCACGUGGAGGAAGGAGAAUUUUGGACAGCAGAGGAAGCUCUUUCUAUUCUUCACUUCUCUCCAUCAAAAUCCUACUUCUUUUCAUCUAAAUUCAUUCAAAACCCGAGAUGGUCGUGAAGAUAAUGGCGACGACUCAUUCUUGGGAGUUGAUGCUACGUGACGAGCCACUACAGAUGACGACUACACUUCUGAUGAAGAGGAAGAAGAUAAAGAGGAAGGGGCCAAGGAUAUGGUUGGGUUGUGAGACAUCCAUUUUUCUUUAGGGUUGAGAGUACCGAGUUUUGGAAGUAUUGAACCAUUACUUUAUUUUAGUUGAGAUAGUUUAACUUGAUGUAAUUUACUUUGAAGUUUUCUUCCGGAUAUUUAUUUCAUACUCUUUUCAAUGAUUAAUAAAGUUUGAGGUUUAGGUUGA